AUGCACCUCUCUGUCCAUCCCAACACAACAGUCAUAUUUCUCAUAGAUGCAGAUCCAAGCAAAACCUGUAAAAUGUUGCUGCUCCACAUCAUUAUUCUGGCUUUGGUUUUGUCUUACAGAUGUGCCCAAAUACAUCUGAGACAAGCUCAGUUGUCCGUUAUCAGGGCAGAAAAUAAAACUGCACGUAUAGUCUGUGAGGCUUCUGGCACUGAGAACUUCGGGAGUGCUGUUAUACACUGGUAUCGACACAGACCUGGAGAAGCUCUGGAGCAGAUACUCUAUUUUAAGACACAAGCUGAGAAAUCAAGUUUUGACAAGAACAAGUUUAGGGUUGACAAGACAACUGAAAAGUCCACCUGUACCUUAACAGUUGGCAAACUAACCUACAAUGACAUGGCUACCUAUUACUGUGCCUACUGGCAUCGCACAGCGUUAGAAAGCCAUAGACAGGCUGUACAAAAACCUCAUUCAGUAUUCUGA
Non-coding RNA from Chelonia mydas (Green sea turtle), 480 nucleotides. NCBI's taxonomy places the organism in Eukaryota, Metazoa, Chordata, Testudines, Cheloniidae. The record is from the annotation of a RefSeq genome assembly.